AUCUAGUUCAUAACUAGGAGUCUGAGAUCAAGGUGUUGGCAGGCUGCUUUCUUCUAAGGCUUCACUCCUUGGCUUAUACUAUAGAUGGCCUUCAUUUUUUUUUAGCAGGGGACAGGAUCUCACUCUGUCACCCCAGGCUGGAGUGCAGUGGCUGCUGUGCCCCUUGCUAUCAGGGACCCACUGUGGUGACUGUUUAGUCCUUCGUGUGGCUCCAGGACAGGACCUGGCAGUGCCCUGCCUCACAUGCCCUCCCCAUCUCACACUCAUGCCUCAUAUUUCUUGUCUCUUGCCUCUGGGCCUCCCUGUUGUCACCUAGUGGUGACACCCCACCAGUGCCGUGCAUCCCCAG
RNAcentral lists this long non-coding RNA (349 nucleotides) under Homo sapiens (human). Its description in RNAcentral is "non-protein coding lnc-ARL4C-10:1". The record is from RNAcentral. Lineage: Eukaryota; Metazoa; Chordata; Mammalia; Primates; Hominidae.